This 774-nucleotide ribosomal RNA is filed under the name Triticum aestivum (bread wheat). Its description in RNAcentral is "partial small subunit ribosomal RNA". The record is from RNAcentral. Lineage: Eukaryota; Viridiplantae; Streptophyta; Magnoliopsida; Poales; Poaceae.
AUGUAUGAGCAAGACAAGCAUGUGAUUGGAAUAAUAACCAACAUCCUACGCGGUAACCCGUACUCUCAACAGUUUAGGAGUUUGGGACAAGCCCAAAACCUUGAGGACUACAGAGUCAUCUUGAACCUUGACCAAAGAUUGGACCAGAGAACAUACAACGCACCAAUCAAUUCAGAGGUAGCUGCAGUGUGGAUUGAAGGAAAUGAAAGAAGAGAUACUUAUGACAGGAGUGUAAUACUACAUGGGAACAACAACGAAAAAGAGCACAUUCGAUCAUAUUACGGGUGCUAUGAUCCGUUGUCGUAUCCUCUAUUCUUUCCAAGAGCUGAACUGGGUUGGCAUAGGAAAAUCCCAAAGAAGAAUACACAAGAGGAAGACAUUGGUGCUGAUAAUAUCAAUAAUGACGAGGACCCAGGUAAAAAAUUCAUAUACUAUUAUAUUCAAAAUUCAAUUUUCAUAUAUGGUACAGUACAAACUUAUGCGACUAACUCUUUAUGUUGCAAUUUUUGCAUAGAUUCGGUCAACGGCUUGUGGGUAACCAUGAAAGAAUACUACUGCUAUAAAUUAACAUGACCAAGCAUAUUCAACCCAAUAUUGCAUGGCGGAUGGCUUUUCCAGCAGUUUGUUGUAGAUACAUACAUCAAGAUUGAAAGCUCCAGACUGGAUUACAUGUGGCAUCAUCAAAAGAAAAUAAGGGCAGAUCUAUACCAAGGCCUUCUAGACAGCAUUCAAGCCGGAGAACAGAAUGGAGAUGCAGUCGGAAAACAGAGAGUA